Molecule: transfer RNA, 67 nt
Filed under: Marmota monax (woodchuck)
Lineage: Eukaryota; Metazoa; Chordata; Mammalia; Rodentia; Sciuridae
Description: tRNA.Ala
Rfam family: tRNA (bases 5-64)
About the family: Transfer RNA (tRNA) molecules are approximately 80 nucleotides in length. Their secondary structure includes four short double-helical elements and three loops (D, anti-codon, and T loops).
Source: RNAcentral
GGAUUGUGGCUCAGUGGUAGAGCACUUGCCUAGCAUGCAUGAGGCACUGGGUUCUAUCCUGGCACCA